GAGGGGCCUCCCUCUCUUGCUCUCGCGGGCUGCAGACGCCUCACCCGCUCUCAGCCUCUCCUGAGCUGGGCUUCGCUCCCGGAGCAGCGGACGGCCCCUCUCCAGCCACGGCGGCCACCGGCUCCGUCUCUCCCGCCUCAGCCGUGGUGGCGCUUGCAGCUGCUCCAGGACCAAGACCGGAGCCCACUCCAGGGCCAGGACCUGCCCCAGUGGCCGCCAUCGCUACCCCUUCGGAGGCUCUCGCGAGAAUAGCAUCUGUUCGGGACAGGAUAGAAUGGGCUGAUAUAGACCCAGUACCACAGAAUGACGGCCCUAAUCCAGUGGUCCAGAUCAUCUACAGUGAGAAAUAGAUGUUUACGAUUACUUCCGAGCCGUUCUGCAACGCGAUGAAAGAAGUGAACGAGCCUUUAAGCUCUCCCGGGAUGCUAUUGAGUUAAACGCAGCCAACUAUAUAGGGUGGCACCAUCAGAGAGUCUCAGUGGAAUGGCUUGAGUUCGUUGCCGAUAUUCUUAAUAAAGAUGCAAAGAAUUAUCGUGCAUGGCAGCAUCAACAGUGGGUCAUUCAGGUAUACUCUGGAAAGGAUCAAAUUAGUACCACACAGUGAAAGUGCAUGGAACUACUUGAAAGGCUUCCAGUUAUUGCCUGUCGUUCUUCCUUUAGGUGUGGAACCUGUGAAAAUCCUCCAUCCACACUGGACUUUUCAUGGCAAUGAGAUACAUCUGCUCCUGGAAGUACCAAUUACUUCAUGAGGAA
Long non-coding RNA from Arvicola amphibius (Eurasian water vole), 753 nucleotides. RefSeq lists it as uncharacterized. NCBI's taxonomy places the organism in Eukaryota, Metazoa, Chordata, Mammalia, Rodentia, Cricetidae. The record is from RefSeq and is a predicted model, not a curated record. The transcript is spliced from 7 exons.